Long non-coding RNA from Rhinichthys klamathensis goyatoka, 818 nucleotides. RefSeq lists it as uncharacterized. The transcript is spliced from 4 exons. NCBI's taxonomy places the organism in Eukaryota, Metazoa, Chordata, Actinopteri, Cypriniformes, Leuciscidae. The record is from RefSeq and is a predicted model, not a curated record.
GAUUUUCCUGCCUACUGAUUUAAAAUUGAAUUCUCUUAUUUAAUGUCAUUGACAUUUUAGACCCAUAAAAUGAUUCUAUUUGUAGUAACAGCAAAAUAGCAAGAAACGACACAGCGGACGCCUGGUCUGACCACAGGAACAGGAUUUUUCUGCUGCUCUCGGCAGCUUUGCCGCUUCUGACGCUGGUUUUGGUGAUCUGGAGGAUUAUACAAAAAUACAAUUUGCCCACACAAGGACGAGACAUCUGUUCUGAGACAGAAGGUCUUGUGAUGUAUGACACAGUGGUCUUCAAGAAAGGAAAGAACAAUGAACAAAACCAGGUCUCAAUUAGCCGUCCUCCUGACCAAGAAGAAGUGAUUUACAGCGCUGUGAAACUUCACUAAUAACAGAUGAUCUCUGACACACUGGCAAUUCAUAUUAAUCAUAUUACAAUCUGAAGUAAUGGCAUAUUCGUCUGUUUUACGUCAUGUAAAGUUUCCUUUAAAGCCACAAAGGAGGUGAGAAAGAAAAAGAGGAAUUUCCAGCACAGGUUUUAAUGUGUUGUUGGCAGAUUGAGAGGUCAUGGUUGUGUCAGAUUAUCAUUUUACUAUUAAAGAGUUUUGCCACAACUGCAAAAUGCAAGUGUGAAAGUGUUACCUGUUUAUUAGCAUGUAGGUUUCUUCUGCUUUUCUACUUUUAUUCUUAAUCAAUGUGAGAAGUAAAACUUAAACACUUCAUGACCACAUCAGAGAGCAACACAAUCAGUUUCGGGUCAACUUAACAUUUGUUACACCACUUCAGAAAAACCUGAAAAUACACCCAUUUGAAAUCUAAUUUCA